RNAcentral lists this transfer RNA (77 nucleotides) under Thermoplasmata archaeon. Its description in RNAcentral is "tRNA-Met". It matches the Rfam family "tRNA". From Rfam's summary of the family: Transfer RNA (tRNA) molecules are approximately 80 nucleotides in length. RNAcentral also lists the same sequence under 1 other name. The record is from RNAcentral. Lineage: Archaea; Methanobacteriati; Thermoplasmatota; Thermoplasmata.
GUCGGGGUGGCUCAGCCUGGUAGAGCGUCGGACUCAUAAUCCGAAGGCCGCGGGUUCGAUUCCCGUCCCCGACACCA